CUGAACGGACGUGAUCUUGCCGCCAACACCCGCCCUCAACUGCUGCAACGGCCCGACUCCACAUCGGUGGCGAUCUCCAUGGUCGGCACGCCGGUCUACAAAGGCGGCGCCGUCGCCGGGGCCGUGCUGGUGCUGCACGACAUGACCAGCGAAAAGAAAUACAUCGCCCGCCUGUCGUGGCAAGCGUCGCACGACAGCCUGACCAAGCUGGCCAACCGCCGCGAGUUCGAACACCGGCUGGAAAA
RNAcentral lists this unclassified non-coding RNA (245 nucleotides) under Hevea brasiliensis (rubber tree). Lineage: Eukaryota; Viridiplantae; Streptophyta; Magnoliopsida; Malpighiales; Euphorbiaceae. The record is from RNAcentral.